UGCGCAUGUGCGGUCAUACACCUGGAGGAGUGGCCGGAAAGGGUGGAGUCAUAUGAUUCGGGAGGAACAGAGCCCUCAGGAGCACACAUGGAGCACUGGCCACCAUCUCUUAUGUUCCUUGGGCUCUAGGAAGUGAGACGGAUCACGCACGUCAGACUUGAAGAAGCUGCCCCGGUUGCAAAGAGAGGCUCAGGGAACAUCAUGGAAGACACCCCACAUGCCACCUACUGGAUUCCAUCCCUUGCUGUGAGACAUUUUGAUUUCAGCUCAGCUGCCCUUCAUUUGCCAGAGCUCUGUAGGAAGUCACAGUGAGAUGGACUCCGCUACCCUAGGUCUGCAGAACCGGAGCACGUGGCACUCAAUCACCUCCCCUUCCAUUUCACGGAGCUCCUCUUCACUAAGAGCUAGAAGGAGAAGGAAGGACUCUUCAGCCAGGCAGCAGGCAACAUUCCAGAUGCUCCUUCCUAACACACAUCAGUUCUUUAUGUUUUUUUGGUAGGUUGUUUUUGUUUUGUUUUGUUUUGAAUUGUGUGGUAUUGGGGAUUAAACCCAGGGCAAUGUGCAUGU
Long non-coding RNA from Peromyscus eremicus (cactus mouse), 567 nucleotides. RefSeq lists it as uncharacterized. The record is from RefSeq and is a predicted model, not a curated record. Lineage: Eukaryota; Metazoa; Chordata; Mammalia; Rodentia; Cricetidae. The transcript has 3 exons.